UCGUUGACUUCCCAAUGGGGCAGGAUCUAACCCCAAAACCAUCUGAACUGCCGUGAGGCAGUCAGAUUCUAUAGUAGAUACGCGUGCCCCUCUUUUCUUUUUCCCACUUCGCAGCAAACUCCAGAGCCUCACAAAUUGCCAGGGUUUCUGCGUGGAAAGCUGAUUGGAGUUUCACCGCUCGAGCGAAGCCACCAAGCAGUACACCGCGGGCGUCCCUGCAUACUUCAGCCACAGAUCCGUCGUUUGUUGCAGCUUUGAAAGCUCCGUCAACGUUUAUCUUCACCCAUCCUAGAUCCGGCGGUCUCCAUUUCACAGGUAUGUCUUUUGCUGUCCUGGUGUGUCGCUUCUGCAGUGGGAUCUGAUCUUUGAAGUUUUCUUCAUCGCAAGCAUAUCGGCUACAACUCCCUGCGGAUCUGGCGUUUUUGCUCGAAAUACAGCGUCAUUCCUCUCUUUCCUGAUGAAACAGAGAGCUUCGCUAACUAUUUCGGGUUCGGGGGCUUGAGGAAGGCGCAGAGCAGGAACAAGUGUUCUGCUGUUUCUGGAGUCACUUUACAUAGGGAGCACAUGGGCUUAGUCUCGUCAUAAGUCUCUCUACACUUUUCAUCUUCCGAACAAAUCUGCGGCUUCAUGUGUAUUGAUAUUUUAGCAGACCACAAUAGAAGAGGCGAGAAGGCAUUCCUGUUUUUUUAGGGGCAUUCUAGUUAGGGCUUGAAAGCUGAACUCAGUGGCAGAGUCAUAGGCCGAAAUGCAUCAUCGCAUUAAGAGGAGGAAAACUAAUGCGAGUGGAAAUGCAGAGGAUGUUGAUACCGGUGCAUCUGGUUUGAUGACUGUGCUGACAGAAACUAAUUUCGUUGGAUCUAGUUCGUCUUCGACAGAAAUUAACACUAAUGCAUCUAGUUCUUUGAUGGUGUCGAUUGGAAACUGCUACGAGGUGUUCUUGAGUUUCAGAGGCCCAGAUACUCGACAUAGCUUCACCGAUCACCUCUACCAUGGGCUCUUCAAAGCUGGAAUUCACACUUUCAGAGAUGAUGAUGAGCUUUGCCAAGGCGAGGACAUCAGACCAGAGCUUAUGGCAGCCAUCACGAAUAGUAAGAUCCUCGUCCCCAUUUUCUCUGUGAAUUAUGGUACAAGCAGUUGGUGCCUGGAUGAACUGGUUCAAAUAAUGGAGCGCAAGAAUAAUAAUGGGCAGAUAGUGGUGCCUAUAUUCUAUAAAGUGAAACCAGCUGAAGUGCGAUAUCAAACCGGGAGGUUUGGAGAUGCAUUUCAUGAGCAUGAGAGUCAUUUGCGUGAAAGGUCUUCUUUUGACCCAACGACUUUGGAGAAAUGGAAGCAAGCACUCCUUGAAGUCAGCAACUUGAAAGGAUACGAAGCCGAUGGGGCAAUUGUACGUGAGGAAAACCAGCAACGGCCUUGGCACCGUAGCAGGUUAUGGGACUCCGAGGAAGCCUUGAAAAUGCUCAAGAGAAAUGAGGGAACGGACAAGAUUGAGGUCAUUGAUUUGAGUAAAGGCAACUCCGAAGGCUCCGGCAAAGUAGCCAAGCAAGAUGGUGACGUUUACACAGCAAAACAAUUCAAAAAAUUGACAAAUCUAAGAUUCCUUUACAUGAAAGGGGCACAUCUCAGUGGAGAUUUUGAGGGCUCAAUGGAGGAGUUAAAAUGGCUUCGAUGGCAAAAAUGUCCUAGGAAUUUUGAAGUAAACAAUUUUCACGUGGAGGAAUUGGUUGUACUCGAAUUGCCAUAUAGCAAGAUAAAUGAGAAAUGGGAAGGAUGGAGUUUUUUCAUGAUGGCAGAGAAGCUCAAAUAUCUCGACCUUUCAUAUUGUGAAUCCCUGGAAGAUACAGACUUCCUCUUAGCUUUUAAGAAGUUGGAGGUUCUCAUCCUCAAUUGGUGUAAGAGACUGAAGCGAAUCGACGCUUCAAUUGGAGACAUGGAGGCCCUCCUUCGCUUGGAGCUGGGUGCGUGUUUCCACCUUAGGGAGCUUCCAGAAAAAAUAGGUAAAUUAAAAGCGCUGCAGCAACUCGAUCUACGGCAUACUACAUCCCUUUCUGCAUUACCAAAUAGCAUAGGGUCUUUGGAGAAUCUAGAGAUUCUAGAUAUUUCUUACAGUGGCAUAGAAGAAUUGCCCAAUGGUAUUGGGAGUCUAAGAAAGCUUCGAGAGUUACAUGUUUACGGUUGCAGAAAUCUGAAAGGGAUAAUGGUAGAAAGCAUGUGUAAUCUUUCUUCCCUAUGACUCCUUGAUUUUACAGACUGCACCAAGCUCUAAUCAUUGCCGGACCUUCCUUCCGGCUUAACACGUUUGGGCGUCACCUGUACAAGUCGUAAAUUGCCUUUGCUUUCCCACCUAGCCUAUCUCAAGGAACUACGACUUCGGGAUUGCGGAUUUCUCCGGUGCAUCCAGGAGCUUCCAUCAACGCAAUUAAAGUGUUCAUAAUGCUCCCAACCAACGGACAUUGAAGAAGUGGAAUCACCACAAUCCCUAAACACGCCCUUCAGGUUGGAAUUCUUGGAAGUCUGGAGCUGUGGAUCUAUCAAAAUGCUGGACGUUUCACAGUUUGUCCAUCUAAGGACAUUAGAUGCCUACGAUUGCGAGAAUCUACUUGAAGUUCGAGUUCUUGACAAAUUGAUAUAUUUGGAAAGCUUGACUAUUGCAUCCUUUGAUUCAAUCAAAUGGUUGGACCUUCCAAAAUUCGAGGGUCUGAAGAAAUUGCAUGUUGAGAGCUGCGACAAAUUAGCCGAAAUUCAAGGCCUUGAUAGGUUGGAGUACCUAGAAGGGCUAGAUUUCAAAGAGUGCACUUUAAUGGAAAGGCUAUACCUUCCAAAAUUCGGGAGGCUAAAGGAAUUAUAUGCUGGAUGUUGCAAAAACUUAGCCAAAAUUCAAGGGCUCAAUAGUUUGGAGUAUUUGGAAAAACUAUCUAUCUAGUGCACUUCAAUUUGAAGGCUAGACCUUCCAAAAUCUUGAAGUAUGAAGAGAUUAUGUGCUACUUCGUGCAAGAAAUUAGCUGAAAUUCAAGGCCUCGACAUGUUGGAGUCCUUGGAAAUGCUGCAUAUCUCUAUGUGCACUUAAACUCAAAAGGCUACUUCUUCCAAAAUCUGGGAGUCUGGAGAUAUUAGAAGCUAGAGACUGCAUAAACUUGGUUGAAAUUCAGGGCCUCGAAUAGGUUGGAGUUUUUGGAAGAAUUGAAUAUCUUUGGAUGCAAGUCGCUCAAAACAAUUCCGGAAUUAUCUGGAAUGCGGAUUUAUCGAUAUUAUCAGAUUACAUAUGGCACAUAUGGAGGAACAUGUCCAUCCUUAUGGACGACUCGGAUGAGGAAUAGACCGGAAGGAUCCACAUUUUCUAUUGAAGGAUUUGAUUAUCAUUCCACCGGUUGAUGUUAAUGCUGAAAUAUCCAAGAGAGCUUUCACAAGGCUAUUCUAAAAGGAGUCGAAAUCAUAGAAGGAUCAGGAGUUUGAUGUUUCUUGAACUUCUCCGAACCUUGACAAUGCAUCCUUGGAAUGAUAAAAGGUUGUUUGCAUGUUGUCAAGCCACGUUUCCUCUGGGCUCUUUGAGCUCUAUCCUUCACAAGCCCUCUUUUUGCUCGUAUCCUUGUGAUUUGUUCCAGCACUAGUGCUGUGUUUUCGGUUGCUCACAGAGCUUUAGCUAUGGAAACUAGCAAAAGGACCACUGUGCGUCAUGCUUCUGUUUCAACUUCAGUUCGAAAAACCACUAGCUUCUCAAGUUCGGCUCCCAGCGUUCUUUUGCGACCUAAUGGGCGGUCAACUCAACUAUUCCGACUCGGUUUUGUGAAGUUUGCUUGAUUUUUAUUGGCAGGUAAAGAUAGUGGAGUGGAAACUAGAGAAGUGUUUGCUGGCGAUGGUCAUAGAGGACUCGAAGUUGGUGCUUCGUUGCUUCUAUUGGCAAAGUUUGUGAACAGUCUCCUUGUCUUCGAAGCAAGAAAGUUGGUUAGCUUAGUAUUCCUUGGAUACUGCGUGGUAUGGACAGCUUAGUAUUUCCUUCAUGUACUCUAGCAACUAUUUUGGUAGGCCUUCAUUGGGUUGUGCUAUUCAUUUAUGUGCCAAAGAAUUCUAAUACUGUGGUGUGAUGGAACUUUGUCAUGCUUUAAAUGUCAGAAUGAUAUGUUGUCAAGCCUAGUAUUGUUUUCAUCCGCUCUAGCACUGAAUUAGUUGCUAAAUUGAUGAUGUGCAAUUGUAAAUGA
This is an RNA transcript of Eucalyptus grandis, 4193 nucleotides long. It is a transcript of the gene named disease resistance protein RUN1-like, with no coding region annotated. The record is from RefSeq and is a predicted model, not a curated record. NCBI's taxonomy places the organism in Eukaryota, Viridiplantae, Streptophyta, Magnoliopsida, Myrtales, Myrtaceae. The transcript is spliced from 7 exons.